Molecule: ribozyme, 66 nt
Filed under: Aedes aegypti (yellow fever mosquito)
Lineage: Eukaryota; Metazoa; Arthropoda; Insecta; Diptera; Culicidae
Description: drz-agam-1 ribozyme
Rfam family: drz-agam-1 ribozyme
Source: Rfam by way of RNAcentral
AGCCCAGCAACUCCUAUCCCUACCUCCUCGCGGUGCUGGCUGGAGUACGAGUAACCUUAGGGAAGA